Molecule: non-coding RNA, 70 nt
Organism: Trichonephila inaurata madagascariensis
Lineage: Eukaryota; Metazoa; Arthropoda; Arachnida; Araneae; Nephilidae
Source: the annotation of a GenBank genome assembly
GUCCCUGUAGCACAAUAUAUAGUGCGUUGGAUCGAGUCCAAAGAUCGGGGUUCGAAUCCCUCCUGUGAUG